AUACAGAGGGUGCGAGCGUUAAUGGGAAUUACUGGGCGUAAAGCGCGCGUAGGCGGCUACUUAAGUCAGAUGUGAAAUCCCCGGGCUCAACCUGGGAACUGCAUCUGAUACUGGGUAGCUAGAGUUUUGGAGAGGGAAGUAGAAUUUCAGGUGUAGCGGUGAAAUGCAUAGAGAUCUGAAGGAAUACCAGUGGCGAAGGCGACUUCCUGGCCAAAAACUGACGCUGAGGUGCGAAAGCGUGGGUAGCAAACGGGAUUAGAAACCCCUGUAGUCC
RNAcentral lists this ribosomal RNA (274 nucleotides) under uncultured bacterium. RNAcentral describes it as "partial 16S ribosomal RNA". It matches the Rfam family "Bacterial small subunit ribosomal RNA", at positions 523 to 796 of the family's 1533-position model. The record is from RNAcentral.